This 254-nucleotide ribosomal RNA is filed under the name uncultured Sphingobacteriales bacterium. RNAcentral describes it as "partial 16S ribosomal RNA". It matches the Rfam family "Bacterial small subunit ribosomal RNA", at positions 1130 to 1382 of the family's 1533-position model. Lineage: Bacteria; Pseudomonadati; Bacteroidota; Sphingobacteriia; Sphingobacteriales. The record is from RNAcentral.
GCCGGGAACUCUAACGAAACUGCCGGUGUAAACCGAAGAGGAAGGUGGGGAUGACGUCAAAUCAGCACGGCCCUUAUGUCCAGGGCUACACACGUGUUACAAUGGCCGGUACAGAGGGCAGCUACCUGGAGACAGGAUGCGAAUCUCGAAAGCCGGUCUCAGUUCGGAUCGGAGUCUGCAACUCGACUCCGUGAAGCUGGAUUCGCUAGUAAUCGCGCAUCAGCCAUGGCGCGGUGAAUACGUUCCCGGGCCUU